Molecule: long non-coding RNA, 201 nt
Filed under: Carica papaya (papaya)
Lineage: Eukaryota; Viridiplantae; Streptophyta; Magnoliopsida; Brassicales; Caricaceae
Description: long non-coding RNA (CPAP_LNC016657)
Source: RNAcentral
UCGGUAUAAUCAUAACAUCUAAAAUAAUUCAUAUUUUGAUUAAUAUGAAUAUUAUACAUGUAUCUUGCAAAAUACGUUAAAUUAAGUUAUAAAUCGGCUUCUAACUAAUUAAUAGAUAUGUAGAAUAAUCUAUCUUUGUUCCCUAUAUUUUGGAGAACAAAAAAAUUACACACACAUAUAUUACAAAUUUAUAGUUUUGAU